UAGGUUUUAUGGUUUUGUUUU
This 21-nucleotide microRNA is filed under the name Gallus gallus (chicken). Its description in RNAcentral is "gga-miR-1815". Lineage: Eukaryota; Metazoa; Chordata; Aves; Galliformes; Phasianidae. The record is from miRBase by way of RNAcentral.